GAUGUCCUCGAUGCAGUCGGCAUCUUGAAGUACUCAGGCAACAGAGAAGAGAUGGAAAUUCUCACAAAAGCACCAGAUUACGCUAGCCAAUACGAAAAAGUUCAGCACCCAUUAAAGGAAAAAUCGAUGUCAUUCCUGAAGAGAAAACCAAGAUGCCUAAGCAAAGCAAAACGACAGCACAACCUCGUCCUCGACGUGAAAGCGCAAUAACUGCGCAAGUGGUGAAAAGCACAGAUGAUGAGGUCAUGGCAGCUGGAUAU
Long non-coding RNA from Diachasma alloeum, 260 nucleotides. RefSeq lists it as uncharacterized. Lineage: Eukaryota; Metazoa; Arthropoda; Insecta; Hymenoptera; Braconidae. The transcript has 3 exons. The record is from RefSeq and is a predicted model, not a curated record.